AAUCCGAACUCACAAACAUUCAUACAAGCUAGAACAUCUGAAGUUCUGCCGCCUGUCACGUGGCUUCUACUCUUGCUACCCAGAGCUUCGAGAGCAGAUCAUCCAUCUCAACCACGCAGGACUAAUUAGCUUGAAGAGUUAGCUAUUCCUGAAAUCCCUGAGGAGAAUCACAACAAGCUUCCAGCUAAUCUGUCAGUGACUUGUGCCAACGUCUUAUGAACACCUCCUGUGAUCGUGCUGUGACUUUGACAACCACCCUGAGGAAGCAGCACUGUCAGUUUACACAGUGAAUCACAGGCAGAAUUAGGAAUGCGAUAAAGCCUGGUGUCGUUCUCUCUUGGUCCUGUUCAGAGCAGGGCAUAUAGUUACCCACUCCAAGCUGUCUCUGCAUGACUGUUGUAACAUCAAAGUGAUCUCUCAGCACAACUGUGACCAACAUUACAUUUAAUAGCAUCUGUAAAGGAACAAUCAUGAACAGGCAUUGGGUAGUGCCAUGCUUUUGUUAGGAUAAAAUGCAUGCUGAGGGGUGGGCAUUGUGGCACAGCAGGUUAAGCUGCUACCUGGGAUGCCCACAUCCCUCCCUAGAGUGCCAACUGGGGUCCCAGCUACUCAGCUUCCAUCCCAAUACCCAUUUAUGCAACUAGGAAGCAGUGGAUGAUGGCUUGAGUACUUGAGUUCUUGUUAUCCAGGUGGGAGACCCAGUUGAAAUUCCUGGCUCCUGGCUUCAGCCUUGCCCAUCCUUUGCUGUUCUGGCCAUUUGUUCUGUCCCUCCUACCUGUUAAAUAAAUAAAUCUUAAAAAAAAAAUUAAAAGUUUAAUGGAGAAAAACAAAGCAGCUUUUUUUAAAAAGCAGAGAUUUUUAUUAACACAUAGUAUUUUAAAUUUUCUAACAUAAAAACAAAAUGAGAAUUGUCAUGAUCAAAAAGUUUAGCACACCUAUCCUCUGGAUAUAUGAAUAUACUCAUAAAGCCACAUAUUAUAAAAUUUAUCUUUGGUUAAUUUCUUUGUAGACAAAAUAGCACACUUAUGCCCUGCAAUUUCUAAAAUUAUAUGUGAGAAGAAUCCAACCCACUUUGUAUUGUAACAUAAUCUUAACCAUAUCAAUUUGUAAUAUUUAUUUAUUUAUUUGACAGGCAGGAUGUUAGACAGAGAGAGGUUGCUUAUUGGCUGGUUCACUCCCGAAAUAGCCAUAACAGUCAGGAGUGGGCCAGGCUGAAGCCAGGAGCUGGAAACUCCAUCUGGGUCUCCCACAUGAGUGGAAGGGGCCUGUAACACAAGCAGCAACUUAAUCUGCUGUACCAUAAUGCCAGACCCUCAUAUCAAUUUUUUAAUGCAUCAAAACCAAAUUUUCUCAGGGUACAAAAGUGGUGACAGAAGCCUAUUUAAAAAAUGAUGUAUAUGUAGGUACAACUACAACAAAAUAUUUUGUUGUCUUUCACAAAUUCAAACUGUAAUACAAUGGCACCACCUGUUGAUUGAGUGGCGGAACUGAAAUCCUAAAAUGAUAUUACAAUAUCAAAUAUUGUUUGGAAUUAUAAAUCGAGGAAUAGAACAUGUCAUUGACAAUUGAUGACAAAUCAGUGAGAAGCCUCUAUGAUAUUAGAUUUGAUCACAUCAAUUCCUUCCUUCAUUCUGGCAUUCUGUACAAUGACUCAGCUUUUAUCUAAAACCUAAUCAUUGCAUGAACCUAGAAAAAUAUGUAAUUAAGAUUAGUUUCUUAAAUAUAAUUAAGUGUAUAUUUUAGAAGAAAAUAUUGUUAACAUAGACUUUUUCAUACAAUAUGCAGUCACAUUGGACUGAACAUUAGUGUUCUGUAGAAUAUAUUUUGGGAGACUUAAGCUUUAUUUUUUGGAAAAAUACCAGACUGGAUAAAUAACAGUAGACACAUUUAAAAACAGCUUUUAUAACAUGGCAGAUAUACCCUCAAAUGAAUACUUCUACUUGUGAGGAAGCAAGGAACAUUCCUCCAGGUAAAACCUUCAAAAGAAGCCGGCGCCGUGGCUCAAUAGGCUAAUCCUCCACCUUGCGGCGCCGGCACACCGGGUUCUAGUCCCGGUUGGGGCGCCGGAUUCUGUCCCGGUUGCCCCUCUUCCAGGCCAGCUCUCUGCUAUGGCCAGGGAGUGCAGUGGAGGAUGGCCCAGGUGCUUGGGCCCUGCACCCCAUGGGAGACCAGGAAAAGCACCUGGCUCCUGGCUCCUGCCAGGAUCAGCGCGGUGCGCCGGCUGCAGCGGCGGCCAUUGGAGGGUGAACCAGCGGCAAAGGAAGACCUUUCUCUCUCUGUCUCUCUCUCUCACUGUCCACUCUGCCUGUCAAAAAUAAAAAAAAAUAAAAAAAAAAAAA
Oryctolagus cuniculus (rabbit) is the source of this 2339-nucleotide non-coding RNA. Lineage: Eukaryota; Metazoa; Chordata; Mammalia; Lagomorpha; Leporidae. The record is from RefSeq and is a predicted model, not a curated record.